RNAcentral lists this ribosomal RNA (478 nucleotides) under uncultured bacterium. RNAcentral's name for it is "partial 16S ribosomal RNA". It matches the Rfam family "Bacterial small subunit ribosomal RNA", at positions 28 to 507 of the family's 1533-position model. The record is from RNAcentral.
GAUGAACGCUGGCGGCGUGCUUAACACAUGCAAGUCGAACGGGAAACCUCCUAUUUACGCUUCGGCAGAUUUAGCUGGCUUCUAGUGGCGGACGGGUGAGUAACGCGUGGGUAACCUGCCUUAUAUAGGGGGAUAACAACCAGAACUGGUUGCUAAUACCGCAUAAGCGCACAGGACCGCAUGGUCCGGUGUGAAUAACUCCGGUGGUAUAAGAUGGAUUCGCGUUGGAUUAGCUUGUUGGCAGGGUAACGGCCUACCAACGCGACGUAGCAUAGCCGACCUGGGAGACUGAACGGCCACAUUGGAGCUGAGACACAGCCCAGACUGCUACGGAAGGCAGCAGUAGGGAAUAUUGCACAAUGGAGGAAACCGUGAUGCAGCGACGCCGCGUGAAGGAAGAAGUAGCUCGGUAUGUAAACUUCUAUCAGCAGGAAAGAUAGUGACGGUACCUGACGAAGAAGCCCCGGCUAACUACGUG